This 537-nucleotide ribosomal RNA is filed under the name uncultured archaeon. Its description in RNAcentral is "bacterial SSU rRNA". It matches the Rfam family "Archaeal small subunit ribosomal RNA", at positions 342 to 879 of the family's 1478-position model. The record is from RNAcentral.
CGAAAACUUUACAAUGCUGGAAACAGCGAUAAGGGGACCUCGAGUGCCAGGUUACAAAUCUGGCUGUCGUGAUGCCUAAAAAGCAUUGCAUAGCAAGGGCCGGGCAAGACCGGUGCCAGCCGCCGCGGUAACACCGGCGGCUCGAGUGGUAACCGUUAUUAUUGGGUCUAAAGGGUCUGUAGCCGGCCGGAUAAGUCUCUUGGGAAAUCCAGCAGCUCAACUGUUGGGCUUUCAGGAGAUACUGUCUGGCUCGAGGCCGGGAGAGGUGAGAGGUACUUCAGGGGUAGGGGUGAAAUCUUGUAAUCCUUGAAGGACCACCAGUGGCGAAGGCGUCUCACCAGAACGGACCUGACGGCAAGGGACGAAAGCUAGGGGCACGAACCGGAUUAGAUACCCGGGUAGUCCUAGCCGUAAACGAUACUCGCUAGGUGUCGGCCACGGUGCGACCGUUGUCGGUGCCGUAGGGAAGCCGUGAAGCGAGCCACCUGGGAAGUACGGCCGCAAGGCUGAAACUUAAAGGAAUUGGCGGGGGAGCAC